RNAcentral lists this long non-coding RNA (4483 nucleotides) under Zea mays. RNAcentral's name for it is "long non-coding RNA (ZMAY_LNC003514)". Lineage: Eukaryota; Viridiplantae; Streptophyta; Magnoliopsida; Poales; Poaceae. The record is from RNAcentral.
UUCAGGUCCGUGGGGGGCGAGGAGAUUGGAGAUGCCUUUGUCUGGGCCUCUGGGGUACUUCGACUUCUCGUUUUGUCGGUAUUUUUCUUUCCUCUUCUCCAAGGGACCUUUUUCUUUCCUCUUCUCCAAGGGACCUUCCUGCACCGUGUGGUUCUGAUCGGACGGAGCUAGAUAUCGCUUUGCCUAUUGUGCAUGGGGGGAGGGGGACAUGAAAAAAUGGAUGUGCACCAUCCAAAAAUGUUAAGGCUUCUUUGGAACAAAGAAAAGAUGAAGAAAUUUUUGAAGAAUUUAAAUUAUAUAGAAAAUUUUCCUAUGUGACCCUUUGGAACAAAGGAUUGAGUUUCUAUAAAUCCUAUAAAAUUUCUAUGGAAUGGAUAAUUGUAGUGAGAUUUUGAAGGAUUUCUAACAUGAGAUCUAGGCCCCAUUGAGUUUGCGGGAAUUUUUUUAAUUCAUUGUGUUUUUCUUGUGAAAAUGAACUGAUUCUUGUGAAAUUUCUAUAUUGAUUUCUCUGAAAUUCCCGCAUUCCAAAUGAGGCCUAGCCUCUUGAAAAAUUUUCUAUGAAAUUGCAAGUGUCAUGCAACUCUAAUCCUACAUUUUUCAUAUCCUUAUAUUUUACCAAUCAUGUAUUCCAAAGGAGCCCUAGGUUUGGAGAUGUAUAGCCUUCUUUUUGCUACCAUGGGGACGUCUAGUUUGGUUCCCAACCGCAGCCCACCACACCUAACCUAAUAUGUGCCAUACCAUGCUAACCUAAUAAACUAAUCGGUUCGCUAAGUGAUUGGUUGCAUGUUCAUAAGAAUAAAUAUAGAAUAUUCAAUGUGUGAAACAGCUCAAAACUCAUGAAAAAAGGCAUAAUUCGAAAAGAAUUAAAUCUUGGGUUGAGUGUUUGGAUAAGUUCUAAAUGGCUCUAGGAACAUUUUGGAACACCUUAGGAUGAUUACAAUGAGCAGAUAUGCAAAAUGGUGUUCCAGGAGCUAAGUUUAAAUAAAUUGAGCAAAAGAGUUGAGAAGAUCAAAAUGAUGAAUACCUUUGACUUAGAGUAGUUGGAUGAACUAAUAAUUUUGUCUAAGUCGUAAAAGUGCUCAACAAUAUAGCCAAAUGCAAACAAGUGAAGAAUGUCCAAAAAAGGACUAAGCCUAGCUAUUCCGAGAGCACUAAACUAAAGUACCAGAGAGCUUGUUUUGGGCAUAGAGGCUUUGGCACGAUGGACCGAGUCUAGUGGUACACCAGACCAAAGUUCUAUUUGUUGACAGCAAUUUAAUGGUGCACUAGACCAACCGAUCGCCCCAAUGGUCGGAUGGUUCAAACCAACGGUCCGAUGAUGUGGCGUUGUGAUGUGGCGAGGUUCGGCGGGUCACCGGACGGUCUGUUGAGUACUAACAGCCUAACAACUUUCCAGUUUCCACAACGGCUACUAACAAAACAGGAAUGGUACUAUUUGAGGUCUGGUGCACACAUUUUAUGUGUAUAUUUGGGAGUGGAGUUCCAAUGGCUAUAUAGGGGUUUGGGGUCCUAUAUAUGUCCCCAACCAGUGUGUUAGACAUCCUAAUGUUAGGCAAACAAGUGCAUACACAAGAACAACACAUCCAAGUGAUCAAAGGGUCCCAAGUGCCACAAAAAGAGAUAGAGCACUUGUGUGAGCUAAAGUGUGGAGUUGUGUUGUGAAUUGUGAUCCUAAGCUUUGGAGCUAGAUUCCCAUUGAGAUUGUGUAAAGUGACUAAGAGCCUUCAAGUGCGUGGAGAGCCUUGAACUCAAUAAGAAAAGAGAAAUAGAACUCAGGUUUGAUCUCUGCGAUCACUUGAGUGUGGAAAGGGUUGAGAGAGACUUGGUCGUUAGUGGACUCCUCAACAGAGGCAUAGGUUCUUUCUAAAACUGAACUCUGGUAACAAAUCAUCGUGUGUUUAUUGAUUUGUGUUUGUCAUUUCACUUCCCCACUCCUCUCUGAGCUCUUAUUGUUUUCAUAUUAUUUCUAAGUCUAAAUUAUGCAAUCUUCUUUGCAACGAUAGCAAGUAUUGAACUCACUAAUUCCCAGUCUAACCAUCUUGUUCUAACACUUAAGAUUACUUAUAUCGGAUCAAGUUUUGGAUUGUUCUGAGUUAAAAUUCAGGUUUCGCCUAUUCACCCUCUCUAGGCAACUUUCAUAAUUGCUCAAAUUUGUAGCUCAUAGUGAUGCUUUCUUGUUCUCAUAAAUGGUUGGUGGCAUCAAUGUCUCGUGUUUAGGAUGUAGCUUAGAAUGAUGUGAUUAUUUUAAAUUCUCUAAACAAUACAAUUGUUUUAACAUGUUAGUAAUUUGUCUUAUGGUUGAUUUUGUAGGAUGGAGCAGUACGCGUUGUUGGAGGAGAGGUAUGAUGUGAAGCACCAGGUAGAGAGGACCAAGCAAGGAGAGGUAGGUUCUAUGUAACUAUUGCAAAUUCACAAUGCCCAUUUAAAUUUAGCAACAAUUAAUUUGCAAUACAUGUUCUUUGUUCACUUUGCAUAUUAUUUUGUUGAUAUAGGUGUGCAUGUACUAAGGUGAAUGAACCAUGACUUUCCUAUAGUAAUCUAAUGCAAUGAGCAGUACACGCCCCUCCUAAAGCGUGUCUGCGUGUGAAGCCAGUUGUCUGUGUUUGUCGUUGGGGGUGCCACCGUUCAACCCAGUAGUUUUGAUAAAUGAUGAUUGAUAUGUGGUGUCCUAUGACACACUCCUUCCACCUAUCGUACAGUGAGAUGACAAUCACUCUUGAGGAUGUAGCCAUGAAUCUUAGGGUUUCAAUUCGACGCAACAUAGUGAGAGAUAAUAUGGAGUUAGUAAGGUGGGAGGGAUGUGUGGAUCAUUUCUUAGGACAUCCUUUUCUAGAUGUUGAGGUGGCCAAGAAGUGGUACACGAGUGGUGGCAUCUUGAGGUGGCUUAAUGAGUAGUUUGAAGAGUGCCCACUGGACGCAUACCAAGUAGUCGUCAACUACUAUAUAGUGCUUGAGCGCUUCAUAUGUUUAGUACGACCCUCUUCUUGAAUGGCACGAGGAUACAACCUCGUGGAUGUACACCAUAUGCUUGUGGAGUUGGGAUGAUGUCAAGAACCUAAGGCAAGAUGGGGAUCCACAAUGUUUUCCUUCAUUUAUUGUCAGCUCCGUGAGGCUUGUCGAUGGCCUAGAGGUGCCUAGUCCACUCAGCUGGGAUGCACAACUAUUUUUUUAGAUAUUACAUCUUUCACAUGAGGAGGCAAUAUGUAUUACUAUAUCCUUUGACAUCUAGAUGUAAUGUAAAUUCACUAACAGUUGCAUCUUUGUAGAUUUGGAUGUGACAUUGACUACUAGUUUGUAGGACACACACAUUGGCCCCACCUAAUGCUUGGUUCCUAGAAGGAAACCCCACGGUACCCCCUACCAUGGCACACAAUAUGAGCGUGCCUCGGGUACGUACCACAUCUCUCAUUAGGAAUACAUUAGCUACACCAAUGAGUUUGACAUCCUUCAACCUCAACAUGUAAGAACAAGCUUUAAGUUUGAGAUUUUGGGGCCGCUAGCACUCACCAUGUACAACUUCAAUUAGUGUAUACCACUAACAUUGUUGAUGCUUCUUUUAUGCAGGUUUAGUGGUAUGCUUAUAACUAUGACAACAUUCUACCCAUAAACUUGAGCUUAAUGUGUCAUGCAAACAAGAACAUGUGGAUGAUGAGGCGCCUUCUGAUUUUAUUCUAUGAUGUCAAGUACCAUCUCCCUCAAUAGGAGGCACAUCGAUCUAGAAAAGAGCAAGCAUACCUUCUCGAACACUUACCCAGUAGUUAGGAUUUACACUAGUGAGUAUUUUUUGUUGAUAAAACCGACCGCACCACCACCAAUUUCAAAGUUUUUUAAAAGAAGUUUUCAAUUGGUAUCUUAUGAUGAAAAUAUUUAGUAGACGUAUUUCAAAUUGGUAUCUAAAAUAUUUGAUCUUCUUUCAAUUGAUAAAAACCCUCUUGAACACUAAGAGGAGAAUUUCAGCCAGGGGGAGUUUUGUUUAAGUCAAAGGAAAAACAUUUGAAACAGGGGGAGAAAAUUUCAAAUCUUAAAAAUGCUUCUUGCAAUCUUAUUCAUAUACCUUUGACUAUUUGCAAAAGGACUUUGAAAAGAUUUUCCAAAAGAAUUUGCAAAAACAAAACAAGUGGUGCAAGCGUGGUCCAAAAUGUUAAAUAUCAAAUCAAACUUACAUACUUAGAAAUGGUUUCAUUUCAAAAUAACUUAUGCACAUCUGUCAAAAUACAAACUAGCUACAUUUCUACACUUUAUAUUUGCUUUGAUUUGUGUUGGCAUCAAUCACCAAAAAGGGAGACAUUGAAAGGGAAAUAGUCUCAACAUUUCCUAUAAUUGAUUUUGGUGUUUGACGACCAUCACAAACCUUGUGGACUAACCAGUUUGUCUAGUUGAUCAUUCCACAAGUGCAUAAGUUCAUCUACAACUAUUCUAAAGUCGACUAUCCAGAAUACCGUAGAUUAUUCCGGACAGGAGAAGCUUUUUGGAAAAUCACCUA